This 4435-nucleotide long non-coding RNA is filed under the name Salmo salar (Atlantic salmon). RNAcentral's name for it is "lncRNA (ENSSSAG00000093789.1)". The record is from RNAcentral. Lineage: Eukaryota; Metazoa; Chordata; Actinopteri; Salmoniformes; Salmonidae.
GCACCAUCUUGGAAAUGCAAGAGAAAGGCCAGGCAGUGAUGUCGGAUUCUAGGUGUAAUUUAGACGUUGUCCACAAGAUGGCAGCAGUGUAAAGCUUCAGACUGAUACAAUAUUUGGUAUCAAGUCUGCCAGGAGUUUGCCCAAAUGUGCCGAAUUGGUCAAUUUAUACAUUUUCAGUAAUCUUGCUCUUGAUUUUGUCAUCCUGAGGGUCCCAGAGAUAAAAUGUAGUGUAGUUUUGUUUGGAAAAAUACUUUUUUAUAUUCAAACGUAGAGAACUGGAUUCUACAGUUUGACCCCAUUGCUGUCUCUGGUUCCACACCCACCAUACCCGGCCACAUAGAUGUGUGGAAGAUAAUGUUUUACACUCAGUGCAGUAAUCUGCUAAUAUCCUUCUUGGCCACUAAAAAGAGAGACACCAGAUAAACAAUACAAAUAUUUUUUUAAUUCAUUGACAACUUUGGUUUCCUACAUGUAACAUCACAUCAUGUAUCUAUCUAUCUAUCUAUCUAUCUAACUGUAGUAGUAUGUAACAUCACAUCAUGUAUGUAACUGUAGUGGUAUGUAACAUCACAUCAUGUAUGUAACUGUAGUGGUAUGUAACAUCAUGUAUGUAACUGUAGUAGUAUGUAACAUCAUGUAUGUAACUGUAAUAGUAUGUAACAUCAUGUAUGUAACUGAAGUGGUAUGUAACAUCAUGUAUGUAACUGAAGUAGUAUGUAACAUCACAUCAUGUAUCUAUCUAACUGUAGCAGUAUGUAACAUCAUGUAUGUAACUGUAGUAGUAUGUAACAUCACAUCAUGUAUGUAACAUCAUGUAUGUAACUGUAGUAGUAUGUAACAUCACAUCAUGUAUGUAACAUCAUGUAACGGCCUGGCCAUAGAGAGGGGUUUUUUGUUCUUUAUUUUGGUUAGGCCAGGGUGUUACAUUGGGUGGGCGUUCUACGUUCUGUUUCUAUGUGUUUGUAGUUCUUUGUUUUGGGCCGUGUGUGGCUCCCAAUCAGGCACAGCUGAAGUUCGUUGUUGCUGAUUGGGAGUCACACAUAAGGAGCAUGUUUUUCCGUUGGGGUUUUUGGUGGGUAAUUGUUUCUGUUUAGUGUUUUGCACCUGACGGGACUGUUUGGCUGUUCGGUUUUCUUGUUUUGUUUCGUAUAUUGUGUUCUUUCUAUUAAAUUAAAUUCAAUGAUGAACACUAACUCUGCUGCACCUUGGUCUACUCUCUCUCUACCGACAGCCGUUACACAUCAUGUAUGUAACUGUAGUAGUAUGUAACAUCAUGUAUGUAUGUAACUGUAGUAGUAUGUAACAUCUAUGUAACUGUAGUAGCAUGUAACAUCAUGUAUGUAACAUUAUUAGUAUGUAACAUCCGAUCAUGUAUGUAACUGUAGUAGUAUGUGACAUCAGAUCAUGUAUGUAACUGUAGUAGUAUGUAACAUCACAUCAUGUACGUAACUGUAGUAGUAUGUAACAUCACAUUAUGUAUGUAACUGUAGUAGUAUAUAACAUGUAUGUAACUGUAGCAGUAUGUAAAUUCAUGUAUGUAACUGUAGUAGUAUGUUACAUCACAUCAUGUAUGUAACAUCAUGUAUGUAACAUCACAUCAUGUAUGUAACUGUAGUAGUAUGUAACAUCAGAUCAUGUAUGUAACUGUAGUAGUAUGUAACUUCACAUCAUGUAUGUAACUGUAGUAGUAUGUAACUUCACAUCAUGUAUGUAACUGUAGUAGUAUGAAACAUCACAUCAUGUAUGUAACUGUAGUAGUAUGUAACAUCAUGUAUGUAACUGUAGUAGUAUGUAACAUCACAUCAUGUAUGUAACUGUAGAAGUAUGUAACACCACAUCAUGUAUGUAACUGUAAUGGUAUGUAACAUCAAUUAUGUAAAUGUAGUAGUAUGUAACAUGUAUGUAACUGUAGUAGUAUGUAACAUCAUGUAUGUAACUGUAGCAGUAUGUAACAUCAUGUAUGUAACAUCAGAUCAUGUAUGUAACUGUAGUAGUAUGUAACAUCACAUCAUUUAUGUAACAGUAGCAGUAUGUAACAUCACAUCAUGUAUGUAACUGUAAUAGUAUGUAACAUCAAUUAUGUAAAUGUAUUGGUAGUAUGUAACAUCAUGUAUGUAACUGUAGUAGAUGUAACAUUAUGUAUGUAACUGUAGCAGUAUUUAACAUGUAUGUAAAUGUAGCAGUAUGUAACAUCAUGUAUGUAACAUCUAUGAAACUGUAGCAGUAUUUAACAUGUAUGUAAAUGUAGCAGUAUGUAACAUCAUGUAUGUAACAUCAUGUAUGUAACUGUAGUAGUAUGUAACAUGUAUGUAACUGUAGUAGAAUGUGACAUAAUGAAUAUAACAUCAUGUAUGUAACUGUAGUCGUAUGUAACAUCAUGUAUGUAACUGUAAUAGUAUGUAACAUCAUGUAUGUAACUGUAGUAGUAUGCAACAUCAUGUAUGUAACUGUAGUAGUAUGUCACACCACAUCAUGCAUGUAACUGUAGUAGUAUGUAACACCACAUCAUGCAUGUAACUGUAGUAGUAUGUAACAUCAUUUAUGUAACAUCAUGUAUGUACCAUCUAUGUAACUGUAGUAAUAUGUAACAUCAGAUAAUGUAUGUAACUGCAGUAGUAUGUAACAUCACAUCAUGUAUGUAACUGUAGUAGUAUAUAACAUGUAUGUAACUGUAGCAGUAUGUAAAUUCAUGUAUGUAACUGUAGUAGUAUGUUACAUCACAUCAUGUAUGUAACAUCAUGUAUGUAACAUCACAUCAUGUAUGUAACUGUAGUAGUAUGUAACAUCAGAUCAUGUAUGUAACUGUAGUAGUAUGUAACUUCACAUCAUGUAUGUAACUGUAGUAGUAUGUAACUUCACAUCAUGUAUGUAACUGUAGUAGUAUGAAACAUCACAUCAUGUAUGUAACUGUAGUAGUAUGUAACAUCAUGUAUGUAACUGUAGUAGUAUGUAAUAUCACAUCAUGUGUGUAACUGUAGAAGUAUGUAACACCACAUCAUGUAUGUAACUGUAAUAGUAUGUAACAUCAAUUAUGUAAAUGUAUUGGUAGUAUGUAACAUCAUGUAUGUAACUGUAGUAGAUGUAACAUUAUGUAUGUAACUGUAGCAGUAUUUAACAUGUAUGUAAAUGUAGCAGUAUGUAACAUCAUGUAUGUAACAUCUAUGUAACUGUAGCAGUAUUUAACAUGUAUGUAAAUGUAGCAGUAUGUAACAUCAUGUAUGUAACAUCAUGUAUGUAACUGUAGUAGAAUGUAACAUGUAUGUAACUGUAGUAGAAUGUAACAUCAUGAAUGUAACAUCAUGUAUGUAACUGUAGUUGUAUGUAACAUCAUGUAUGUAACUGUAAUAGUAUGUAACAUCAUGUAUGUAACUGUAGUAGUAUGCAACAUCAUGUAUGUAACUGUAGUAGUAUGUUACAUCACAUCAUGUAUGUAACUGUAGUAGAAUGUAACAUGUAUGUAACUGUAGUAGUAUGUAACAUGUAUGUAACUGUAGUAGUAUGUAACAUGUAUGUAACUGUAGUAGUAUGUAACAUCAUUUAUGUAACAUCAUGUAUGUACCAUCUAUGUAACUGUAGUAUAAUGUAACAUCAGAUCAUGUAUGUAACUGCAGUAGUAUGUAACAUCACAUCAUGUAUGUAACUGUAGUAGUAUGUAACAUCACAUCAUGUAUGUAACAUCAUGUAUGUAACUGUAGUAGUAUGUAACAUCAUGUAUGUAACUGUAGUGGUAUUUAACAUGUAUGUAACUGUAGUAUGCAGCUUAAUACAGUGAGAUACAGUCUACAGCCUACUACAACAGUGAGAUGCAGCCUACUACAGUGAGAUACGCCCUACUACAGUGAGAUGCAGCCUACUACAGUGAGAUACAGCCUACUACAGUGAGAUGCAGCCUACUACAGUGAGAUACAGCCUACUACAGUGAGAUACAGCCUACUACAGUGAGAUGCAGCCUACAGCCUACUACAGUGAUACGCCCUACUACAGUGAGAUGCAGCCUACUACAGUGAGAUGCAGCCUACAGCCUACUACAGUGAUACGCCCUACUACAGUGAGAUGCAGCCUACUACAGUGAGAUGCAGCCUACAGCCUACUACAGUGAGAUGCAGCCUACUACAGUGAGAUGCAGCCUACAGCCUACUACAGUGAGAUGCAGCCUACUACAGUGAGAUGCAGCCUACUACAGUGAGAUGCAGCCUACUACAGUGAGAUACAGUCUACUACAGUGAGAUGCAGCCUACAGCCUACUACAGUGAGAUGCAGCCUACUACAGUGAGAUGCAGCCUACUACAGUGAGAUGCAGCCUACCACAGUGAGAUACAGACUACAGCCUACUACAGUGAGAUACAGACUACAGCCUACUACAGUGAGAUGCAGCCUACAGUCUACUACAGUGAGAUGCAGACUACUACUGUGAGAUGCAGCCUACAGCCUACUA